This 482-nucleotide ribosomal RNA is filed under the name uncultured bacterium. RNAcentral's name for it is "bacterial SSU rRNA". It matches the Rfam family "Bacterial small subunit ribosomal RNA", at positions 28 to 477 of the family's 1533-position model. The record is from RNAcentral.
GACGAACGCUGGCGGCGUGCCUAAUACAUGCAAGUCGAGCGAGUGAAACUAACAAUCACCCUUCGGGGCGUGCGUUAGAGGAUCUAGCGGCGGACGGGUGAGUAACACGUGGGCAACCUGCCUGUAAGACUGGGAUAACUCGCGGAAACGCGAGCUAAUACCGGAUAACUUUUCGGAUCGCAUGAUCCGAAAUUAAAAGAUGGCUUCGGCUAUCACUUACAGAUGGGCCCGCGGCGCAUUAGCUAGUUGGUGGGGUAAAGGCCUACCAAGGCGACGAUGCGUAGCCGACCUGAGAGGGUGAUCGGCCACACUGGGACUGAGACACGGCCCAGACUCCUACGGGAGGCAGCAGUAGGGAAUCUUCCGCAAUGGACGAAAGUCUGACGGAGCAACGCCGCGUGAGUGAUGAAGGUCUUCGGAUCGUAAAACUCUGUUGUCAGGGAAGAACAAGUGUCGGAGUAACUGCCGGCACCUUGACGGUA